ACUGUUCUUCAUGAUCACUAAGUUAAUAGAAGAUCACCCAUGCUUAGGGAAGAUGCAGUGUCCUGCCACAUUAGUUUAGGGUAGACAUUUCAUGCCGACCGAAGAUGGAUGUUCCUAAAUUACUUUUGUGAGAUUUUUAUUUGAAUGCUUAUUAGGCUUGUAGCCAAUUUGCAUGUUAAUCCAAGAAUAAGUUAAAAUACAAAAAACCCUUGUUCCGAUGUUAGUGGUGAAUUCCUUGUCCUAGGUUCUCUCAAACUGAUAACAUUUUAAUUGCAUUUUUUAUUAAAUUUUUUAGUUUAAUUUUCUUCACAAACUCUUCCUUUUAAAUAU
Molecule: long non-coding RNA, 330 nt
Filed under: Phoenix dactylifera (date palm)
Lineage: Eukaryota; Viridiplantae; Streptophyta; Magnoliopsida; Arecales; Arecaceae
Description: long non-coding RNA (PDAC_LNC009897)
Source: RNAcentral